UAGAAUUAUAAAGUAUGUUGCUAUUUGUGAAAUAAGAGCAUUAAAUUAUUUGUGAAAUAAGAACAUUAAAUGGUAUGUUAUACUUGCAAACCAUAACGAUGUAAUUAUUUUAGUAUAUAGUGAACCUUAAAUGAUAAAUAAUAUAUUUGGCUUUGCAAAGUUUGCAUGACAUUCUAGUUCAAAAUAUGCAUCAUUCCAUUGAGAUACAAAAUAACAAUUAAACAUUUAUGGUCACACAGAAUUUGAAUAUUCAAUCUCACCCCAAAAAUUCCACAAAAAGAAACAAAUGAGAAAGCUGCCUAAAACCCCAGCUUCUCAAAAUCACAAGAAACCUUCUAAAAAACUUAUACUCCAUGCAUUGCCAUCUGCAAAUGUCUGUGUUGAAUCCCUUGUUACCUUCUCCUUUACAACACACGAGCCACUUUCCAAAUUCCUGUCAAAUACAUGAAAUGGUUAAUGGAUAAAAAUGGAAACAGGAUGCUCAUAACAACAAUCUAGAUAUGCAAUGCAGUGUAACUAAGAAUGUAUAGCACUAUCAAUCUUGCAAUGUGUAACUUGUACAAUCAAGAGCUGGUUUUGUGCCACUUUAAGCUUUUCAUGUUGCAGCUGUAUUAACUUACUGGCUGGCAGUACUUGCACCAGUCAGUUCGGCCAGUUGCCAUGGCAUCAUCAGAGAUACUAUUGAAACAAUUGGACUGAAAAUAACAAAUAUGAUAUGACAGGUAUUAAUCUACUUGCCCUAAAAAUUGUUCAAAUUUUCGUAUUACAACUUUUCCAGUACUUGAAGAAGAAGUCUAUGGAUUCAACCUAAGCUCGAGAUACGAAGUCAUGACAUAACUGGACUGAAAAUAAACUAUUACAUACAAGCUCUGAACCACAAUAACGCUCAAUUGAGUUACGUAUGAGAAAAAAAAAUAGAGAUCGAAUAAAAACUCAUGAUCAAAGAAACAAUACCUGCGUUGAAACUAACAGAGCGAUUCGAUGUUUCCAAACGAUAUGGAGAGAGAAAUUUACUCCAUGCCGAUCCAGUGACUGAUUGAACAACUAUUCUAUGUGAAAUAGAUGAACAGAAAUGAAGUAGGGCAUCUGGCUAGCGAUGAUGCACCCGGAGUGGCAAAUGUAGUCAUAGUUGCUUAUGGCGAAACUGUCGUAAUCACCUGCAACUUCCGGUAGCAAGAACUAGGGUUAGCGGUGGUGUUGUCUUAUAACGGGCGAUUAGGUUUUCG
RNAcentral lists this long non-coding RNA (1226 nucleotides) under Lactuca sativa (garden lettuce). RNAcentral describes it as "long non-coding RNA (LSAT_LNC007622)". The record is from RNAcentral. Lineage: Eukaryota; Viridiplantae; Streptophyta; Magnoliopsida; Asterales; Asteraceae.